UACAGAGGUCUCAAGCGUUGUUCGGAAUUACUGGGCGUAAAGCGCGUGUAGGCGGCGGGAUAAGUCGCAUGUGAAAGCCCUCGGCUCAACCGAGGAAGUGCAUGCGAUACUGUUUCGCUUGAAUGCCGGAGGGGAUGGCGGAAUUCCCGGUGUAGAGGUGAAAUUCGUAGAUAUCGGGAGGAACACCUGUGGCGAAGGCGGCCAUCUGGACGGCAAUUGACGCUGAGACGCGAAAGCGUGGGUAGCAAACAGG
RNAcentral lists this ribosomal RNA (253 nucleotides) under uncultured bacterium. RNAcentral describes it as "partial 16S ribosomal RNA". It matches the Rfam family "Bacterial small subunit ribosomal RNA", at positions 524 to 776 of the family's 1533-position model. The record is from RNAcentral.